UCCAGUAUGGUGUACCGGUAACAUCGGUGCCUUUCAGAAAAGAGGGAAAUGUCGACCGCACUAGCCCGGGGUUCGACUCCCCGUACUGGAA
Mycena olivaceomarginata is the source of this 91-nucleotide non-coding RNA. NCBI's taxonomy places the organism in Eukaryota, Fungi, Basidiomycota, Agaricomycetes, Agaricales, Mycenaceae. The record is from the annotation of a GenBank genome assembly.